Molecule: long non-coding RNA, 655 nt
Organism: Canis lupus familiaris (dog)
Lineage: Eukaryota; Metazoa; Chordata; Mammalia; Carnivora; Canidae
Exons: 3
Source: RefSeq, a predicted model, not a curated record
GAUUGAUCGCCCUAGUUACCACCACACAGGGAAGACAACAGCUUGUCUUUAAGUGCUACUGAUAGAUUUAUUUCUCUUUUAACACUCCUUUGAAAGAAGCACAGAGGUAUCCAGGACAUUCCAAUAGACGGAAAUUGGAAAGGAAAGCCAUCAGGUCGUGGGAAAUGUAAAGGUUAAGACAUUUCAUCAAGUAACGAGACACAGAGAGAGAGAAGCAGAGACACAGGCAGAGGGAGAAGCAGGCUCCACGCAGGGAACCUGACGUGGGACUCGAUGCCAGGUCUCCAGGAUCACACCCCAGUUUGCAGGCAGCACCAAACCGCUGCACCACCAGGGCUGCCCACAUCAUGCAGGUUCUCAAGUGGGGAUUUUUAUGUAUCCCUAGCUUUAUAGUGGGCGAUAACUAGAGGAAAAUUUAAUAUUAAUUAAAUAGAGGUAGUUCUGAUAAAUAUUAUUUCUUGUUCUUAGUGUGAAAAUGUGGAUUUCAUGGUUCUCUCUAUAUAUUAAUAUAAUAAUAUAAUAACUAGAAAUAUUUAAUUCUAAGGAUAAUAAAUUUGUGAUAUUUUGGGCUUUUUAUGUAGCAUAAUGGAGGUGCGGUGAUUGUGCUGGUAGUAAACAGCAAAAAAAAAAAAAAAAAAAAAAAAAGAAGCCCAAA